AAAUAAAGCUUAUGUGAAGCGUUUCGGAAUACCGAAGAACUAUUAAGAUUAGUAUAUUUUAAAAUUAUAACUUAUUAUUAUAAUAAAUGUAUUAUUAGUUGUGAGAAAAAUAAUUUAAAUGAAAAAAAAUUAGUAUUUAUUAAGAAAUUUUUAUAAGAUAAUAGUUAAUAGUAUUGUAAAAGAAUGUUAAUAUAUUAUUAAAAUAAUUAAAUAAUAUAAAUUUAAAUGUGCCUUGUGUAUCAUAAAAUAAUAAAUUAAUUUUUGUAAAAAUUAAUCCCGAAAAAAAGGUAGUUAAAUUAUUAAAAAAAUUUUUGUAUUAAUAAAAUUAAUAAUAGUAAUUUAGAGAUGAAAUGUCAGUCGAACUUUUAUAUCUGGUUUUAAAUAAAAUGAAUUCAAUUCAAGCUUUAUUAAUUAAAAUAGAGUUAAAGAACAAGGGGGUGAGCUUUUUGUUCAAUUAUAAAAUAAUAUAAAUUUAAAAUUAAAAUUUUAUUGAGAUCUAGGCUUAUAAGUAGCCAUUUUUUAAAAGUGUUUUAACUAAUAUUUACGUAUUUUAAUAUAUAAUUUAUAUUAUUUAAAAAUUUAAUUUUAAUUUUUAAAAAAAUUAUAAUUUAAAUUGAUAUUUAAAAAGAACUCGGCAAAGAGAUUCUUGCCUGUUUAACAAAAACAUGUCUAUAUGAAGGUGUAUAUAGUUUAGCCUGCUCACUGAUUAUAUUAAAGAGCCGCAGUAUUCUGACUGUGCGAAGGUAGCAUAAUAAAUUGUCUUUUAAAUGAAGGCUUGAAUGAAAGGUUGGACAAAGUAUCAUCUGUUUCUUAAAUAUUUAUUGAAUUUGACUUUCAAGUGAAAAGGCUUGAAUGAAACGAUAAAGACGAUAAGACCCUAUAAAUCUUUACAGUAAACAUAUUUUAUAUCUUAAUUUAUAAGUAUAUAAGAUAUUAAAUAUGUAAUUGUUUCGCUGGGGCGGCGUAGAUAUAUAAACAAACUGUCUACACAUUAAAUUCAAUAAUUAUUGAUUAAUAAAAUUGAUCCUUAAAUAGAUUAAGAGAUUAAGAUACUUUAGGGAUAACAGCGUUAUUUUUUCUGAGAGUUCUUAUCGAAGAAAAAGUUUGCGACCUCGAUGUUGAAUUAAAGUAUCUUUAUGGUGCAGCCGCUAUAAGAGAGAGUCUGUUCGACUUUUAAUACUUUACAUGAUUUGAGUUCAGACCGGCGUGAGCAGGUUGGUUUCUAUCUUUUGUUAGAUAUAAAUUAUUUUAGUACGAAAGGACCAAAUAAUUUAAAAUUUUUAUAAUUUAGA
This 1292-nucleotide ribosomal RNA is filed under the name Pagurus nigrofascia. Its description in RNAcentral is "16S ribosomal RNA". The stretch from base 835 to 1236 matches the Rfam family "Bacterial large subunit ribosomal RNA", at positions 2049 to 2651 of the family's 2925-position model. Lineage: Eukaryota; Metazoa; Arthropoda; Malacostraca; Decapoda; Paguridae. The record is from RNAcentral.